AGUGCAGUGGUGUUUACAACUCAUUGAUCACAACCAGUUACAGAUUUCUUUGUUUCUUCUCCAGUCCCACUGCUUCACU
This 79-nucleotide small RNA is filed under the name Rhinopithecus roxellana (golden snub-nosed monkey). RNAcentral's name for it is "Y RNA (ENSRROG00000021715.1)". Lineage: Eukaryota; Metazoa; Chordata; Mammalia; Primates; Cercopithecidae. The record is from RNAcentral.